AUGUUGCCAGCCAUGGAGGAGCCCCUUGUUGGGGGCAACAGCAGCGCUGAGGAGACAGGAGGGCCAAAAGAGAGCUUGGUGGUGACCGAGGUUAAGAAGCAGCUGUACCUCGCCGGGCCCCUCAUCGCCGGAUGCCUCUUGCAGAGCGUCGUGCAGAUGAUAUCGGUCAUGUUUGUCGGCCAUCUCGGUGAGCUCGCUCUCUCGAGUGCCUCCAUCGCCACCUCCUUUGCCGGUGUCACCGGCUUCAGCUUGUUGUCUGGCAUGGCGAGCAGCUUGGACACACUGUGUGGGCAAGCCUUUGGGGCAAAACGGUACCAUCUGCUCGGCAUCUACAAGCAGAGGGCCAUCCUUGUGCUCACUCUGGUGAGCGUUGUGGUUGCGGUGCUCUGGGCGUACACUGGGCAGAUCCUCCUGCUCUUCGGCCAGGACCCGGAGAUUGCCAUGGGGGCAGGGAGCUACAUCCGGUGGAUGAUUCCAGCACUGUUCGCUUACGGACUGCUGCAGUGCCAUGUCCGGUUCCUCCAGACACAGAACAUUGUCCUCCCGGUGAUGGCGAGCGCAGGCGUCACGGCGCUGAGCCACGUGCUUGUGUGCUGGUUGCUGGUGUACAAGCUUGGGCUGGGCAACAAGGGCGCUGCCCUGGCCAAUGGCAUCUCAUACCUGGCCAAUGUGUCAAUCUUGGCUAUCUACAUCAGGGUCUCUCCAUCCUGCAGGAGCACCUGGACAGGCCUCUCAAAGGAGGCGUUUCACGACAUCCUUAGCUUCAUGAAGCUUGCCGUGCCAUCUGCGCUGAUGGUUUGCCUAGAGUGGUGGUCGUUUGAGCUGCUGGUACUUCUCUCCGGACUUCUCCCAAAUCCUAAGCUGGAGGCAUCGGUGUUGUCCAUUUGUUUGAACACAAGUUCAUUAGCAUUCAUGAUCCCCUUCGGUCUUGGGGCAGCCAUAAGCACCCGUGUUUCAAAUGAGCUUGGUGCUGGGCGACCUGAAGCUGCCCGUCUGGCUACUCGUGUGAUCAUGGUUCUUGGCCUUGCGACUGGUGUGUCUUUAGGACUUAUUAUGCUCUCGGGGCGCAAUCUAUGGGGGUACGCAUACAGCAAUGAGAAUGAGGUGGUGGAAUACAUUGCAAGAAUGAUGCCGCUUCUUUCCGUGACGAUCAUUUUCGACGAUCUACAAUGUGUUCUUUCAGGUAUUGUCAGAGGCUGUGGCUUGCAAAGGAUUGGUGCUUGUGUGAAUCUCAGCGCGUACUACCUUGUCGGCAUUCCGGCGGCGCUAUGCUUUGCCUUUGUCUACCAUCUUGGCGGAAUGGGGCUGUGGUUCGGAAUAAUCUGUGGGAUAGUGGUACAGAUGCUGCUGCUGCUGAGCAUUACCAUGCGCACCAACUGGGAUAAAGAGGCUCUCAAGGCAAAGGACAGAGUUUUCAGUUCGUCCCUGCCUCUAGACAUGACGACAUAA
RNAcentral lists this ribosomal RNA (1449 nucleotides) under Triticum aestivum (bread wheat). RNAcentral's name for it is "partial small subunit ribosomal RNA". Lineage: Eukaryota; Viridiplantae; Streptophyta; Magnoliopsida; Poales; Poaceae. The record is from RNAcentral.